AAGAGAGCUUAUCCGUAGACAG
This 22-nucleotide microRNA is filed under the name Tetranychus urticae (two-spotted spider mite). Its description in RNAcentral is "tur-miR-281-5p". Its record names the gene tur-miR-281-5p. The record is from miRBase by way of RNAcentral. Lineage: Eukaryota; Metazoa; Arthropoda; Arachnida; Trombidiformes; Tetranychidae.